RNAcentral lists this ribosomal RNA (1261 nucleotides) under metagenome. RNAcentral's name for it is "bacterial LSU rRNA". It matches the Rfam family "Bacterial large subunit ribosomal RNA", at positions 1612 to 2877 of the family's 2925-position model. The record is from RNAcentral.
AAAAAGCUCAACAGCGAAAAAGCCAGCCGCCCGUACCGCAAACCGACACAGGUAGACGGGUAGAAGAUACCAAGGCGAACGAGCGACACCUUGUUAAGGAAUUAGGCAAAAUAGCCCCGUAACUUCGGGAGAAGGGGCGCCACAGUAAUGUGGCCGCAGUGAAAGGGUUCUGGCGACUGUUUAACAAAAACACAGGUCUCUGCGAAGGUGCAAACCGACGUAUAGGGGCUGACACCUGCCCAGUGCCGGAAGGUUAAGAGGAGAGGUUAGUGCGCAAGCACGAGGCUUUGAAUUGAAGCCCCGGUGAACGGCGGCGGUAACUAUAACCGUCCUAAGGUGGCGAAAUUCCUUGUCGGGUAAGUUCCGACCCGCACGAAUGGUGUAACGAUCAGAACACUGUCUCAACAAGGUCCUCGGCAAAAUUGAAGGGCGCGUGAAGAUACGCGCAACCCGCAGCUGGACAAAAAGACCCCGUGGAGCUUGACUGUAGCUUGCUAUUGCGUUAGGGCGAGAUUUGUGUAGGAUAGCUGGGAGGCAGAGAACCUAGGGCGCUAGCCUUGGGGGAGCCGACGGUGAAAUACCAGCCUGAUUUCGCUUUGGCCCUAACCUGUUGCCCUGAAGCGGGCAUGGGGACAGUGGCAGGUGGGCAGUUUGACUGGGGCGGUCGCCUCCUAAAAGGUAGCGGAGGCGCCCAAAGGUUGGCUCAGGUGGAAUGGAAACCCACUGAGGCGUGUAAUGGCACAAGCCAGCUUGACUGCGAGGCCUACAAGCCGAGCAGAGACGAAAGUCGGGCAUAGUGAUCCCACGGUACUGAGUGGAAGGGCCGUGGCUUACCGGAUAAAAGCUACCCCGGGGAUAACAGGCUAGUCUAGUCCAAGAGUUCACAUCGACGACUAGGCUCGGCACCUCGAUGUCGGCUCGUCGCAUCCUGGGGCUGGAUCAGGUCCCAAGGGUUGGGCUGUUCGCCCAUUAAAGCGGUACGUGAGCUGGGUUCAGACCGUCGUGAGACAGGUCGGUCUCUAUCCACUGUGGGCGUAAGAAGGUUGAGGGGAGCUGCCCCUAGUACGAGAGGACCGGGGUGGACGCAGCGAUGGUGUGCCGGUUGUCGCGCCAGCGGCAGAGCCGGGUAGCUAACUGCGGAGCAGAGAACCGCUGAAAGCAUCUAAGUGGGAAACUGACCUCAAGAUGAGCCUUCUGUGCUGUAAAACAGAGUAAGACCGCUGGGAGACGACCAGUUGGAUAGGGCGGAGGUGGAAGCGCA